This is a non-coding RNA of Pelobates cultripes (western spadefoot toad), 121 nucleotides long. NCBI's taxonomy places the organism in Eukaryota, Metazoa, Chordata, Amphibia, Anura, Pelobatidae. The record is from the annotation of a GenBank genome assembly.
AUGGUACUCCCCAAUUCCUAGCAGGAGAAAAUGUGUAAAUACAUAAAACAUAUAUUAAAGCUUUAAUAUAUGCUUUUAUGUAUUUACACAUUUUCUCCUGCUAGGAAUUAGGGAGUACCAU